Molecule: ribosomal RNA, 498 nt
Filed under: uncultured bacterium
Lineage: Bacteria
Description: bacterial SSU rRNA
Rfam family: Bacterial small subunit ribosomal RNA
Source: RNAcentral
AGGGUUCGAUUCUGGCUCAGGAUGAACGCUGGCGGCGUGCUUAACACAUGCAAGUCGAACGGAGUUAGAUGAAACCUAGUGAUUCUAAACUUAGUGGCGGACGGGUGAGUAACGCGUGGGUAACCUGCCAUAUACAGGGGGAUAACACUUAGAAAUAGGUGCUAAUACCGCAUAAGCGCACAGGACCGCAUGGUCUGGUGUGAAAAACUCCGGUGGUAUAUGAUGGACCCGCGUCUGAUUAGCUAGUUGGUGAGGUAACGGCCCACCAAGGCGACGAUCAGUAGCCGGCCUGAGAGGGUGAACGGCCACAUUGGGACUGAGACACGGCCCAAACUCCUACGGGAGGCAGCAGUGGGGAAUAUUGCACAAUGGGGGAAACCCUGAUGCGGCGACGCCGCGUGAGUGAAGAAGUAUUUCGGUAUGUAAAGCUCUAUCAGCAGGAAAGAAAAUGACGGUACCUGACUAAGAAGCCCCGGCUAACUACGUGCCAGCCGCUGC